RNAcentral lists this ribosomal RNA (513 nucleotides) under uncultured bacterium. RNAcentral's name for it is "bacterial SSU rRNA". It matches the Rfam family "Bacterial small subunit ribosomal RNA", at positions 24 to 518 of the family's 1533-position model. The record is from RNAcentral.
UCAGAACGAACGCUGGUAGCGUGGAUUAGGCAUGCAAGUCGAACGGGAUCCGGGAGGUAGCAAUACUUCCUGGUGAGAGUGGCGGAUGGGGAGGAACACGUGAGCAACCUGCCUUGGAGUCGGGGAAAACCGUUGGAAACGACGGCUAAUACCGGAUGUGGCGCCCGGUGACAUCACCGGAGCGCUAAAGGGGGCCGCAAGGCUCUCGCUCCUAGAGGGGCUCGCGCACCAUCAGCUUGUUGGCGGGUAACGGCCCACCAAGGCCUACGGUUAGCUGGUCUGAGAGGAUGACCAGCCCCACUGGGACUGAGAUACUGCCCAGACUCCUACGGGAGGCUGCAGUCGAGGAUCAUUUGCAAUGGGCGAAAGCCUGACAAUGCGACGCUGCGUGGAGGAUGAAGGCCUUCGGGUUGUAAACUCCUGUCAUGGGGGAACAGGCGAGGAUACCUAAUACGUAUCUUAGUUGAGUGUACCCCAAGAGGAAUUGGCGGCUAACUCUGUGCCAGCAGCGGC